GAUGAACGCUAGCGGGAGGCUUAAUACAUGCAAGUCGAGCGAGAAGGUUUUCUUCGGAGAACUGGACAGCGGCGCACGGGUGAGUAACGCGUACACAAUCUGCCCUAUACAGAGGAAUAGCCCUGGGAAACUGGGAUUAAUGCCUCAUGGUCCUUAAAUGUGGCAUCACAUUAAAGGUAAAGAUCCGUCGGUAUAGGAUGAGUGUGCGUACUAUUAGCUAGUUGGUGAGGUAACGGCUCACCAAGGCGAUGAUAGUUAGGGGGCGUGAGAGCGUGAUCCCCCACACGGGUACUGAGACACGGACCCGACUCCUACGGGAGGCAGCAGUAAGGAAUAUUGGGCAAUGGAGGCAACUCUGACCCAGCCAUCCCGCGUGUAGGAUGAAUGCGCUAAGCGUUGUAAACUACUUUUAGAUAGGAUGAAACCCCGAGAUUUAUCUCGGGCUGACGUUAUUAUCAGAAUAAGCACCGGCUAACUCCG
This 480-nucleotide ribosomal RNA is filed under the name uncultured Lewinella sp. Its description in RNAcentral is "bacterial SSU rRNA". It matches the Rfam family "Bacterial small subunit ribosomal RNA", at positions 28 to 505 of the family's 1533-position model. Lineage: Bacteria; Pseudomonadati; Bacteroidota; Saprospiria; Saprospirales; Lewinellaceae. The record is from RNAcentral.